Molecule: long non-coding RNA, 949 nt
Organism: Globicephala melas (long-finned pilot whale)
Lineage: Eukaryota; Metazoa; Chordata; Mammalia; Artiodactyla; Delphinidae
Source: RefSeq, a predicted model, not a curated record
AGAGGCGGUGGGAGUGCAGGAGGGAGUGGAUCAGAGGGCCAGGGGGUGGGAAGGAAAAGGAACCAGGGCCAGGUCAGAGGCAGCCAACAGGAGCUCCUCCAAGAGAACACGAAGGGGAGGAAACGAGAAAAUAAAGGUUAUUAUCAACACUAUCUCCCCAACCGAAGGACAGAAACUCCUGCUUAGAACCUGUGCGGCACCUUGAGUGGCCCUGCAGUGCUGAGAGCCUCCUGAGGGCAGGAAGGAAGCGAGGCUCCCGAGACCCACCUGCUGCGGGCAGCUGCCGCCGCUGGACCCAGGCCGCUCGCUCACCUCCUCACCAGGAGCCCAAGGCCCACCCCCCAUCCUUCCCUUCAACACACGUUGGGAAGCUACCUGAAGGGAUGCCACAGGGAGAAGGUGGCAUGGAAUCUAGGAAACAGUGGCUCCAAACUAGAAGAGUGCAAGGGAAAACAAAUGCCGUCCCAAGGAUAAUGCGUUCCCAGCAUGGAAGAUGCUCUUGACCCAGUCAGCCAGAAAGCAGUAUGGCAGCUCCGGGACAGAGCCUGAACGCCGUGGGCCCUGACCACACGCACGGCUAAGCUUUGCCAGUCAUCUGUGCUGACUCUCCGUCUACUUCUCUAGUGACAACGCCCUUCAGGCCUCCCCCGCCCCCGACCGACCCUGCUCUUGGCAAGGCUGGCGAGGACCAGGGCUGCCCGACCCAGGGGUCCAGCCUUGGGCCUUGCUUGACGUCGGGAGCGUGAGACACGCUGACUUCUUUCCUAAGCCCUGGCCAGUCUCGGUUCUCUUCCUGUCUCAUGAGAGCCCAUCUCCUCGGGGGUCUCCCAUCCCCCUGCCCGCUCAGCACAUCGCUCCUCUGUCCACACUCACCGCAGGGCUCUCGGCCAGCACUUGGGGCCCAGCCUUCUCUCUCUCCAGCCCCCUUCCCAGGUGUGUCUGUCCGGUA